GAAUUCUCAGUAACUUCUUUGUGUUGUGUGUAUUCAACUCACAGAGUGGAACGUCCCUUUACACAGAGCAGAUUUGAAACACUCUUUUUGUGGAAUUUGCAAGUGGAGAUUUCAAGCGAUUUGAUGCCAACAGUAGAAAAGGAAAUAUCUGCAAAUAAAAACAAGACAGAAUCAUUCUCAGAAAGUGCUUUGUGAUGUGUGCGUUCGACUCACAGAGUUUAACCUUUCUUUUCAUAGAGGACUUUGGAAACACACUGUUUGUAAAGUCUGCAAGUGGAUAUAUGGACCUGUUUGAGGCCUUCGUUGGAAACGGGAUUUUAUCAUAUAAUGCUAGACGGAAGAAUUCUCAGUAAAUUCUUUGUGUUUUGUGCAUUCAACUCACAGAGUGGAACGUCCCUUUAGACAGAGCAGAUUUGAAACACUCUUUUUGCGGAAUUUGCAAGUGGAGAUUUCUAGCCAUUUGAUGCCAACAGUGGAAAGGGAAAUAUCUUCAAAUAAAAACUAGACAGAAUCAUCCUCAGAAAAUUCUUUGUGAUGUGUGCGUUCAACUCACAUAGUUUAACCUUUCUUUUUAUAGAGCAGUUUGGAAACACUUUGUUGGUAACGUCUGCAAGUGGAUAUAUGGAACGCUUUGAGGCUUUCGUUGGAAACGGGAUUUCUUCAUUUCAUGCUAGACAGAAGAAUUCUCAGUAACUUCUUUGUGUUGUGUGUAUUCAACUCACAGACUGGAACGUCGCUUUACACAGAGCAGAUUUGAAACACUCUUUUUGUGGAAUUUGCAAGUGGAGAUUUCAAGCGAUUUGAUGCCAACAGUAGAAAAGGAAAUAUCUGCAAAUAAAAACAAGACAGAAUCAUUCUCAGAAAGUGCUUUGUGAUGUGUGCGUUCAACUCACAGAGUUUAACCUUUCUUUUCAUAGAGGAGUUUGGAAACACACUGUUUGUAAAGUCUGCAAGUGGAUAUAUGGACCUGUUUGAGACCUUCGGUGGAAACGGGAUUUUAACAUAUAAUGCUAGACGGAAGAAUUCUCAGUAAAUUCUAUGUGUUGUGUGCUUUCAACUCACAUAGUUUAACCUUUCUUUUCAUAGAGCAGUUUGGAAACACUCUGUUGGUAAUGUCUGCAAGUGGAUAUAUGGACCGCUUGGAGGCUUUCGUUGGAAACGGGAUUUCUUCAUUUCAUGCUAGACAGAAGAAUUCUCAGUAACUUCUUUGUGUUGUGUGUAUUCAACUCACAGACUGGAACGUCCCUUUACACAGAGCAGAUUUGAAACACUCUUUUUGUGGAACUUGCAAGUGGAGAUUUCAAGCGAUUUGAUGCCAACAGUAGAAAAGGAAAUAUCUGUAAAUAAAAACAAGACAGAAUCAUUCUCAGAAAGUGCUUUGUGAUGUGUGCGUUCAACUCACAGAGUUUAUCCUUUCUUUUCAUAGAGGAGUUUGGAAACACACUGUUUGUAAAGUCUGCAAUUGGAUAUAUGGACCUGUUUGAGGCCUUCGUUGGAAACGGGAUUUUAUCAUAUAAUGCUAGACGGAAGAAUUCUCAGUAAAUUCUUUGUGUUGUGUGCAUUCAACUCACAGAGUGGAACGUCCCUUUAGACAGAGCAGAUUUGAAACACUGUUUUUGCGGAAUUUGCAAGUGGAGAUUUCUAGCCAUUUGAUGCCAACAGUAGAAAGGGAAAUAUCUUCAAAUAAAAACCAGACAGAAUCAUUCUCAGAAAAUUCUUUGUGAUGUGUGCGUUCAACUCACAUAGUUUAACCUUUCUUUUCAUAGAGCAGUUUGGAAACACUCUGUUUGUAAAGUCUGCAAGUGGAUAUAUGGACCGCAUUGAGGCCUUCGUUGGAAACGGGAUUUCUUCAUUUCAUGCUAGACAGAAGAAUUCUCAGUAACUUCUUUGUGCUGUGUGUAUUCAACUCACAGAGUGGAACGUCCCUUUACACAGAGCAGAUUUGAAACACUCUUUUUGUGGAAUUUGCAAGUGGAGAUUUCAAGCGAUUUGAUGCCAACAGUAGAAAAGGAAAUAUCUUCAAAUAAAAACUAGACAGAAUCAUUCUCAGAAACUACUUUGUGAUGUGUGCCUUCAACUCACAGAGUUUAACCUUUCUUUUCUUAGAGCAGUUUAGAAACACUCUGCUUGUUAUGUCUGCAAGUGGAUAUUUGGACCUCUUUGAGGGCUUCGUUGCAAACGGGGUUUCUUCCUUUCAUGCUAGACUAAGAAGAGUUCUCAGGAACUUUUUUGUGUUGUGUGUAUUCAACUCACAGAGUUGAACCUUGCUUUAGAGAGAGCAGAUUUGAAACACUCUUGCUGUGGCAUUUUCAGGUGGAGAUUUCAAGCGAUUUGAGGACAAUUGCAGAAAAGGAAAUAUCUUCGUAUAAUAACCAGACAGAAUCAUUCUCAGAAAGUGCUUUGUGAUGUGUGCGUUCAACUCACAGAGUUUAACCUUUCUUUUCAUAGAGGAGUUUGGAAACACACUGUUUGUAAAGUCUGCAAGUGGAAAUAUGGACCUGUUUGAGGCCUUCGUUGGAAACGGGAUUUCUUCAUUGAAUGCUAGACGGAAGAAUUCUCAGCAAAUUCUUUGUGUUGUGUGCAUUCAACUCCCAGAGUGGAACGUCCAUUUAGACAGAGCAGAUUUGAAACACUCAUUUUGCGGAAUUUGCAAGUGGAGAUUGCUAGCCAUUUGAUGCCAACAGUAGAAAGGGAAAUAUCUUCAAAUAAAAACUAGACAGAAUCAUCCUCAGAAAAUUCUUUGUGAUGUGUGCGUUCAACUCACAUAGUUUAACCUUUCUUUUCAUAGAGCAGUUUGGAAACUCUCUGUUGGUAAUGUGUGCAUGUGGAUAUAUGGACCGCUUUGAGGCCUUCGUUGGAAACGGGAUUUCUUCAUUUCAUGCUAGACACAAGAAUUCUCAGUAACUUCUUUGUGUUGUGUGUAUUAAACUCACAAACUGGAACGUCCCUUUACACAGAGCAGAUUUGAAACACUCUUUUUGUGGAAUUUGCAAGUGGAGAUUUCAAGCGAUUUGUUGCCAACAAUAGAAAAGGAAAUAUCUGCAAAUAAAAACUAGACAGAAUCAUUCUCAGAAAGUGCUUUGUGAUGUGUGCGUUCAACUCACAGAGUUUAACCUUUCUUUUCAUAGAGGAGUUUGGAAACACACUGUUUGUAAAGUCUGCAAUUGGAUAUAUGGACCUGUUUGAGGCCUUCGUUGGAAACGGGAUUUCUUCAUUGAAUGCUAGACGGAAGAAUUCUCAGUAAAUUCUUUGUGUUGUGUGCAUUCAACUCACAGAGUGGAACGUCCCUUUAGACAGAGCAGAUUUGAAACACUCUUUUUGCGGAAUUUCCAAGUGGAGAUUUCUAGCCAUUUGAUGCCAACAGUAGAAAGGGAAAUAUCUUCAAAUAAAAACCAGACAGAAUCAUUCUCAGAAAAUUCUUUGUGAUGUGUGCGUUCAACUCACAUAGUUUACCUUUCUUUUCAUAGAGCAGUUUAGAAACACACUGUAAAAUCUGCAAGUGGAUAUAUGGACAGUUUUGAGGCAUUCGUUGGAAACGGGAUUUCUUCAUUUAAUGCUAGACAGAAGAAUUCUCAUUAACUUCUUUGUGUUGUGUGUAUUCAACUGACAGAGUGGAACGUCCCUUUAGACAGAGCAGAUUUGAAACACUCUUUUUGUGGAAUUUGCAAGUGGACAUUUCAAUCGAUUUGAUGCCAGCAGUAGAAAAGGAAAUAUCUUCAAAUAAAAACUAGACAGAAUCAUUCUCAGAAACUACUUUGUGAUGUGUGCCUUCAACUCACAGAGUUUAACCGUUCUUUUCUUAGAGCAGUUUAGAAACUCUCUGCUUCUUAUGUCUGCAAGUGGAUAUUUGGAACUCUUUGAGGCCUUCGUUGCAAACCGGAUUUCUUCAUUUAAUGCUAGACUAAGAAGAGUUCUCAGUAACUUAUUUGUGUUGUGUGUAUUCAACUCACAGAAUUGAACCUUGCUUUAGAGAGAGCAGAUUUGAAACACUCUUGCUGUGGAAUUUUCAGUUGGAGAUUUCAAGGGAUUUGAGGACAAUUGCAGAAAAGGAAAUAUCUUCGUAUAAAAACCAGACAGAAUCAUUCUCAGAAACUUCUUUGUGAUGUGUGCAUUCAACUCACAGAGUUGAACUUUUCUUUUGAUAGAGCAGUUUUGAAACACUCUUUUUGUA
This 4171-nucleotide long non-coding RNA is filed under the name Homo sapiens (human). Its description in RNAcentral is "HSALNT0123417". The record is from RNAcentral. Lineage: Eukaryota; Metazoa; Chordata; Mammalia; Primates; Hominidae.